Cavia porcellus (domestic guinea pig) is the source of this 283-nucleotide non-coding RNA. It matches the Rfam family "Metazoan signal recognition particle RNA". Rfam says of the family: The signal recognition particle (SRP) is a universally conserved ribonucleoprotein. NCBI's taxonomy places the organism in Eukaryota, Metazoa, Chordata, Mammalia, Rodentia, Caviidae. The record is from Rfam.
GCCGGGUGUGGUGGCGCGUGCCUGUAGUCCCAGCUACUCGAGAGGCUGAGGUGGGAGGAUCGCUUGAGUCCAGGAGUUCUGGGCUGCAGUGCGCUAUGCGGAUCGGGUUUCCGCACUAAGUUCGGCAUCAAUAUGGUGACCUCCCGGGAGCGGGGGACCACCAGGUUGCCUAAGGAGGGGUGAACCGGCCCAGGUCGAAAACGGAGCAGGUCAAAACUCCCGAUCGCGCCUGUGAAUAGCCACUGCACUCCAGCCUGGGCAAUAUAGUGAGACCCUGUCUCUU